This 293-nucleotide long non-coding RNA is filed under the name Ananas comosus (pineapple). Its description in RNAcentral is "long non-coding RNA (ACOM_LNC024065)". The record is from RNAcentral. Lineage: Eukaryota; Viridiplantae; Streptophyta; Magnoliopsida; Poales; Bromeliaceae.
UAGAUUGGGAGAUUACUGUUGAUAAGUAAUCCAAUAUUUUUGAUAAGUUUAGAUUUAUUUCUGUCAAGUUUAUCUUUUAAUAUUUUGUUGGUUAGACAUAUAAGAGAUAAGUUUAAAUCUGGUUCAAUUAUUGUUUUUAGGAUUUUGAUUUAUGCCUAUAUAUAAACGGCUGUAAAUGUGUGGAAAAUCAUCCACCAUCAAAAUUUAGGCCAAGAAUAUUUUAUAAAGAUUUAGUUUUAUACUCCUCUCUUCUUUCAACAAGUGGUAUCAGAGCCAAGUUAAAGAAGCCUUAC